GGCGAGAUGGCGGAGUGGUCUAACGCGACAGACUAGAAUGUGAGGUCUCAGGCAUUCACAAGAGAUCUGUUACCUUCGGGUGCGCAGGUUCGAAUCCUGCUCUCGUCG
Non-coding RNA from Ascosphaera acerosa, 108 nucleotides. NCBI's taxonomy places the organism in Eukaryota, Fungi, Ascomycota, Eurotiomycetes, Onygenales, Ascosphaeraceae. The record is from the annotation of a GenBank genome assembly.